Long non-coding RNA from Populus nigra (black poplar), 2447 nucleotides. RefSeq lists it as uncharacterized. The record is from RefSeq and is a predicted model, not a curated record. NCBI's taxonomy places the organism in Eukaryota, Viridiplantae, Streptophyta, Magnoliopsida, Malpighiales, Salicaceae. The transcript has 2 exons.
UUACAAGUUAAUCUAACUUAACUGUUCAGAUGUCUUGUUUCCAGUUCUAAAAAACUUAAGUUAAAAAAGAUUGAAGCUUUGGCUUCUUAACAGCCGAGAAUUCAUGGCCACACCAUUGGCUUUCAGAUCAAUGAGAAGGGGUUUUGCAUCUUCUGCUCUUAAAUGGGAAUGUGGAGUCUCAGUGGUUCAAGGAACUUCUAGAUGAAUUGGCCUUGAAUUUGUUAAACAACUUCUGGAAAAGAAUGACAAAGGGCAUGUUAUUGCUGCUUGCUGAAAUCCUAGUGGGGCAACGGGAAUUACUGAUUUGAAAAAUAAGUUUGCUGAGCGCCUUAAGCUUUCUUUUUUGGUGUGGCUGUUUGUGGGUUAAGAUCAACAAUUUAUGAAUGCUGGAAUAUCAAGCGUAUUGAAUACCAAAAUUAGUCAUGAUUUCAUUUCUUUCAAUAUCCUGAAAAAUUGUAGAGGAUGUCUCCCUAGGAAGGGACAUUGUGAGCAUGAAGCAAAAUGCAGGAAGAAUACCUUUUACCUUUUCCUUAAUAAGAGGAAAGAAGCCUUCAUUUUAAAUCGAUCCAUGGAUAAAUGGAAAGCUAUAGCACAAAAAGAAAAGAAAAAUCACAAGCAUUUCCUAUGCUGUUUAUAACUAGUAAUAGUAGUUAUUAGUAUCGAAGAAAUAAUUAUUGCAGACACAGAAAUUUCUUAGUAGUGUUAGCCCUGAAGAGAUGUGUUCAAAUAUAAUGUUAGUAAUACUAGGCAAAGAUAAAGUUGUUGCAAUAGGGGUUUCGUUAUUGCCCCUUUUGUUUCUUCUUGGAGGUAAUGAUUCACAACAUAGCAUAAUAUCACUGUUUGCCAUUUGCAGCACAUGUGGCCUCUUCUGAUGGCUGGAGGAGACUUGAAAGGGAUGUUGCGUGGUUGCCAAUUUAAGUGCCAGGGUUGGCUCAAAUGAAGAUAAUCAUCUAGGGGGCUGGCAUUCAUAUCGAUCUUCAAAGUCUGCUUUAAAUCAGCAUAUGAUUUCCUCUCCAAAGUUCCCUUGGCAUGAUUUUCUUGAUUCAUGGCUUCAUUUUUGCUAGUAUGGCUAUUGGGUAUGACAAGAAGAAUCAUGAUCACUUUAGUGACUGACAUCUAUGUUGGCUUAUGUUUAUUUUCACCUCGGCAAGGAAUAUUCGAUAUGUCAACUCUCAACACUCUUUUGAGCGCAACUUGGCAAGGAAUCUGCCAUGGGUACCAUUGCCUAAAAUGUGAGACUACUCAUGCAUAUGGGGUACCUCAUUUUCUUUGUUUUGACCAUCCAAUGCACAUGCUACAGAUUGGCGAUGCAAAGCACAAGCUCGGUGUCCUGAAGUUUUCUGGCCAAGUCCUUGUGAGGCAGGAAAUAUCAGUGAAGAAAUAAUUACUUUGUGAGACAAAUUUCUGUGGUCUUUGAAUAAGAUUCUAAAAGAUUCCCUGCAUGGCAUUUACUUCUGUGAAGGCUUUCUGGAUGUCAUUUGCUUCAUUUUCAAAAAUUGUGAAACCUUACUGGAUGACACCUUCCUCAUCUUGUCCAUCCACUUCCUUCGAGUAAACAUUUUCCACCUUAAAACUUUCACACGCACACGCACACGCACACACGCAAUCAGUACACUUUCCCAUCUCCACUUUCCAUUGACUAAUAUGAUUCAAGUUUCUGAUCUUCUAGCUCACUCACUUAAAUCAUGUCUUAGAAUGAUUUUGAUUGGUAGUCCCUUAAGAAUAUGCAAAUACACAUGAAGAGGAUGACUAUGACUGUGGCGUGGAAACGUGGUAUCUUGGUGUGUGUUUACACAUAACUCUGUUUGGGGCGGUAAUCAAUCGCUGUUAGCUUUUGUUAUUGUUUUAUACCAAACUAAAAUGACGCACCUUAAAGCCCUCAUGAUUUGACUUCUCUUGUGAUAGUAUUUGUUUUGUUUGCUGAUUGCAGCGACAAAAACCGUGUCGGUAGAGUUUGCAUGAAAGAAGGAUCCGAUAAUAGGCAUCCUUCUGCACCCUGGCACAGUGGACACAGACCUCUCUAAGCCAUUUCGUAGAAAUGUUCCUGAAGGCAAGCUUUUCACCAAAGAGUUUGCAUUGCAGAAACUCUUAAGCUUCAUUAAUAAUGCAAAAAGGCAAGAUAAUGGCAAACUGUUUGCCUGUGAUGGCCAGGAAAUACCGUGGUAGUCGCUUAGUGUAGUGGAUUGAUUAUAAAUUGAUGACUGAGUGAUGCAGUAGGGUGAUCCAUUUUAUUUUCUUUUUUUGUUCUCCCUGAAGCAAAUUUGUAAAUCCUAAUCAAGAACAAUAUGCUACCCCAAGGAGCAAGGUAGAAUCUAAGAUUAAUUUUUUGGUUUCUUAUUUGUAACUUAAUUUUUCACUUGUGAAAUGCUAAUCAUUCGAGGCUUCAUUUGGUUUCGAAGCAAUCAAAUUGUUGGCAGGACUGCACAUGCCAGCAUUCUUGGUGAUAA